This is a non-coding RNA of Vicia faba (fava bean), 225 nucleotides long. Lineage: Eukaryota; Viridiplantae; Streptophyta; Magnoliopsida; Fabales; Fabaceae. The record is from the annotation of a GenBank genome assembly.
AUGUUAUGGAUUGAAUUUCGGUUUAAGAGAUGGAUAGGGUUCGAGAUAUGGUUGACGGGUAUGAAGGUUACAAUGCGGUUUAGGUUUAUUGCAGCGAGGUUUAGGUCUGUAAAAUUGGUGGUGAAGGAUUGGAGAUGGUAUAGAGAUGUAGAAGUGGGCAGCAGGGCUGAUUUUGGACAGCAAGGUGCAGAAGCAACAUGGUUGUUUUUGGACAUGGAGGGCUAG